GGCCGCACAAUACUGUCAGGCUAGAGGGCACCAGAGGGGUGUGGAAUUCCCGGAGUAGCGGUAAAAUGCGCAGAUAUCGGGAGGAACACCGGUGGCGAAAGCGGCACCCUGAGGUGCGCCUGACGCUGAGAGACGACAGCUAGGGGAGCGAACAGGAUUAGAGACCCUGGUAGUCCUAGCCGUAAACGAUGGAUGCUAGGUGUAGGAGUGAAGAGCUUCUGUGCCGCAGCGAACGCGAUAAGCAACCCGCCUGGGGAGUACGGCCGCAAGGUUAAAACUCAAACGAAUUGACGGGGACCCGCACAAGCAGCGGAGCGUGUGGUUUAAUUCGAUGCUACACGAAGAACCUUACCUGGGAUUGACAUAUAGGUGGUAGUGAUCCGAAAGGAGAGCGACCCUUCGGGGAGCCUAUACAGGUGCUGCAUGGCUGUCGUCAGCUCGUGCCGUGAGGUGUCGGGUUAAGUCCCGUAACGAGCGCAACCCUUGUCCUUAGUUACAAGUGUCUAAGGGGACUGCCGGCGGGAAGCCGGAGGAAGGUGGGGAUGACGUCAAGUCAGCAUGGCCCUUAUAUCCAGGGCGACACACACGCUACAAUGGUCGGUACAGAGGGCAGCGAAGCCGCGAGGUGGAGCGAAACCCAGAAAGCCGGUCGUAGUUCGGAUUGCAGGCUGCAACUCGCCUGCAUGAAGUUGGAGUUGC
Molecule: ribosomal RNA, 699 nt
Filed under: uncultured organism
Description: bacterial SSU rRNA
Rfam family: Bacterial small subunit ribosomal RNA
Source: RNAcentral